CAGUCGCCGCGGUAAUACGAAGGGUGCAAGCGUUACUCGGAAUUACUGGGCGUAAAGCGUGCGUAGGUGGUGGUUUAAGUCCGUUGUGAAAGCCCUGGGCUCAACCUGGGAAUUGCAGUGGAUACUGGGUCACUAGAGUGUGGUAGAGGAUAGUGGAAUUUCCGGUGUAGCAGUGAAAUGCGUAGAGAUCGGAAGGAACAUCUGUGGCGAAGGCGACUAUCUGGGCCAACACUGACACUGAGGCACGAAAGCGUGGGGAGCAAACAGGAUUAGAUACCCUAGUAGUCCCUGUCUCUUAUAC
Molecule: ribosomal RNA, 301 nt
Filed under: uncultured bacterium
Lineage: Bacteria
Description: partial 16S ribosomal RNA
Rfam family: Bacterial small subunit ribosomal RNA
Source: RNAcentral